UCUCGUGCAUCAUCUAGUGAGGCUUGAGCUGUGUUCCAUGCCGUGCUUGCACGUAAGCAUAAACGGGCAGAUCGAUCGAUCCCCGUAUCGAUCAUAUCUCGCGUCCGUUUCUUUCUCAUGAUCGAUCAUCUCGACGCUUCGAAUCUUGGAUGAUCGCCAAGCGUCUUCAGAUCCUCUCAAACUCAGAACUUUUUAGUUCCCAACUUUUUUUAAAAAAAACUUUCAACUUUAAACUUUCCUACACACAAACUUCAACGUUUCGGUCAAUUUCUUUAAACUUUUAAUUUUAACGUGGAACUAAACACACCCUCAAACGUUAAUUCAGAGAUGAGAUAAUCUCAUCUCAUGAAUCAUUAAGAGCCAUCGUUUUGUUAUUCAUGCGGCUUAUCUGAAUAAAACUUUUAUAUAUGUGUUCUUAACGAUCUAAAAGUAAAGAUUGAAAAAUAAAAUUUGAUGAAAAAACUCAAAAUCAACUUUAAAUUUAAGAUUGAAAAUUCAAAUUUUGGCUGAUAAGUAUAAGCAUGAGCGAAAAGAUGAUGCAUUUUGUCUUCUUUGAUUUAUUCAUGAUUUCUUUUCAUUUUCUAAUGAGGAUGAAAAACUUGUCUGGUUCAUUUCUUUAUUGCGGAGAAGUGGCCCGAGUAGUAAUUGCAAAGUAACUCAAAACAUUUUCAAGCUGAAACUAACCCAAUUUCAUUCUCUAAAACUGAGUAAUGGGGAUUCCUUAUAAUAAAAAAAAAGUAGCAGCAGCAGCGAAAAGGCAGGGGAAACUUAGCCGCGUAGGUGAAGUCAAGAGACGAUAAUCAAUUAAAGAUGGGGGCAAAAUCAUCUCGAAACUUCACGGAAAAGAACAGUAAAUUACUCACAGCCACAGACGCUGACACGCACACAUAAAGAGCAUUUGCUUUCAGGCCAAGCUUCACGGCCGACCUGUGAACAUGCGCCUCUCCACGGAGCUAAACCCAUCAUUUUUUUCCCACUUUUUUAAACAAAGAUUUUCUUUUUUGAAAAGAAGAGGAAGAGAUCAUUAACCAACCAACUGAAAAAAAAAAUCAAGCAUGCAUGCUUGAUCUGCAUCAGUAAAAUUCGCAUAACUGAACAAAGGAUUUUGAUUGAAUUUAAUUGAACUGAUCCAUUCAUUCCUCUGAGGAAAAAAACACACAAAGGAGUACAGAUACUAGUAGAGUAGUAGAAAAGCAAAGAGCACAUCACACAUGGCUUCCUAGCCAAGCCCUGGAUGAUUCUGAUUCUGAUUACCCUAGCUCUAGUGUCACUCGAUGCGUACGCGCGAAAUAGUGGCGUACUAUCACUCGAUCCGAAGAGGUCGUCGGUGAUCGUCAGGAGGCGCACUGGCGAAGCCUGGAAGGGCGAGGCUGGAAGUCGCCGCGGCGGCGGCGGCGGCCGCCGUUGCUGCAGCUGAUCAUCCGAAGCAGGUGCGCGCGGACCGACCGCCCCCCCUUCGCCCUGGCGCCGGCCGACGCGACGCCGCCUGACGACGGCGACGACGACGGCGGCGGUGGUGGCGGGGAAGAAGAAGAGGAGAGGUGGCGGGCGCGUGGGAUCGGGCGGUGGCGGAUGCAGCGGAAGGAGCCCGGGUGGUUGGUCGGCGAGCAGAGGCACGCGAGCUUGGGCCUCGAGCUCAUGGACGCCUCGCUGUUGAUAGCAGCAGCCAUGUCUGUGGCGGGGAGCGCGGCGGCGGCGGCGAUGGCUGGGCUGGCUUCCCGGCGUCGCCUCGGGUCCGGUGGUUUUAUACGCGCGAAAGGGGUUGGGUUCUCUCUCGAGGCUUCCCUUCGCAUGGGGGAGCACGUGGUGCGAGGGAAGGCGUGAGAGGUGUAAAUUAAUCACUAGUGGCACGUUGACGGACCAUCGUUUCGUUUAUUCGCGAACCGUAAAUGAAAAGUAAGAGUGAAUAAAAACUUUUAUAUGUGUUUCUAGUGAUCUAGAAGCAAAGACUAAAAAAUAAAUUUUAAUAAAAAAAAUCAAAAUCAGCUCUAAAUUUAAGGUUGAAAAUUUUAAAUUUUUACGGAUAAGUAUUAGCAUAAGCGGAAAGAUGAGGCCUUCUCCUGCGCCUAAAUUCUCCUCCAAAGUUAACCAAACUCUACGGUAGAGUUUGAGUUUGGUUGCUGGGAUGGGAUGGAAUGGAACAGGAUGAACCCAUUUUUAGAGGUGUUUGGUUGAGGGGUGAGUGGGAUGGAUUGGUCCUGGAGAGGAAUAUUCUUCUUAGAUCCGGGACCAACUGAUCCGGGAAAAUAUGACGGACCAACUUGGGAUGAGCAAACGGCGUCACAACGGCUUCUCGCGUGCUCGCCGCCCUGCUCGCCGCUUAUUGUCCGCGUGCUCGGCGUGAUGGUGGAAGACAGCUCGUGUGACAGCAACGGCGACGGGCUCAGCUUGGGCGACGGCGACGAUGGCGGGCUCCAGUGGUGGGGAGGGCGAGGGAAGCGGCGGCGGGAUCGGCGACGGCAGCGGGUGGCGGGGUGCUCGGCGACGGCGGAUCCAGCAAUGGAUCAGGUGCACGGCAUGAGCGUCGUCACUUCUUCUCCGCGUGCUCGUCCUCCCGCUGCUCUCUCGCAAGCAGCCAGCCUGCUCGCUGGCCGUGCUAGCUCUCCCGGCCACCGGUCACUGCCGAUUGGUCCGAUUAGAGCAGGCGAUGGUGGCGCUCGACGAGGACUCGCGCUACCUCACCAAACUCUCUUGACGGCUUGACUUCUUUUCUGAAGACGCAGGAAUGUCGAUUGGUUUUCAGAGUUUCUUCAUCUUUCUCUUAAAGUUCAAGAAGCUUGCCAGAGCUAACAGCUCACUUUCAGCUUGUAAAAUUCAGCCUCUGUUUCGGUAUUCCUCCCUCCGUUUCAGAAUAUAAGCAAUUGUAGCAUUUCUCACAUUUAUAUUGAUGUUAAUGAAUCUAGACAUAUAUAUCUAUCUAGAUUCAUUAGCAUAAAUAUGAAUGUAGGAAAUACUAGAAUGACUUACAUUGUGAAACGGAGGAAAUAAUUCCUUAUGCGUAUAUCACAAAAUGUAACAGUGUGUUUAAUCUGAAUCUGAAUCUGAUCUUAUUGCACA
Molecule: long non-coding RNA, 3057 nt
Organism: Oryza sativa Japonica Group (Japanese rice)
Lineage: Eukaryota; Viridiplantae; Streptophyta; Magnoliopsida; Poales; Poaceae
Source: RefSeq, a predicted model, not a curated record